Molecule: long non-coding RNA, 618 nt
Filed under: Chrysolophus pictus (golden pheasant)
Lineage: Eukaryota; Metazoa; Chordata; Aves; Galliformes; Phasianidae
Description: lncRNA (ENSCPIG00010011008.1)
Source: RNAcentral
GCCUGGUACCUCUCUUUCUCCUCUAAAUCCUUUCUGUAUGUCAUGACUAAGUAAUUACUCACCCUACUGGUAGACUGAGUUCCUGGAGGCAUUAGGCAGGUUUCACUCAGAGGGUGAGAGCAAAUGGAUGCCUGAUGGUAACGUGGUGGAAUUGCUGAGGUUUGGUGGGCAUUUUUGUGUUGUUUGUUGCUGCUGUUGUGGUGCUUUUAUUUUCUUAUUUUAAUUUAAAAACAAACAAACUUUUUUUUCUACUUUCAUUUAGGGCCUACCCAAGACUUCGUAGUGAUUUCAGUGAGAAUUGACUGGCUUGGCUCUUGUCCAGAUCUGUCCUUCAUAAAACCAUCAGGGACACGCAUCAAUGAUUUCUCUGUGAGCAUGGUUUUACCUCAAGCCUACCAGUGAUAUGACAACAAGGACAGGAAGGAGCAUGCUGGUAUUCCAGUCCCACUGUAUUCAGAACUAGGUUCUCUGGAUACUGCUGCUUCUGCUUCCCAAUCCCCACCACCCUCCUCUGCCUUUUCACUUGCUCAGCUGGAACUUCUCCAGGCAAUUUGAACUGGAAGAUCUGCUCUGUUUUGAUGUGCGUAACAACCAGCUUUAAGUAAACAACUCCUGUCC